UAUUACAGUGUAGUUGAUUUACAAUGAAAAAUAUGGAAUGCAAAAAAGAGAAAAAAAAAGGAAGGGAGUUCCUGUUGUGGCUCAGUGGUAAUGAACCGGACUAGUAUCCGUGAGGACACGGGUUCGAUCACUGACCUCUCGCUCAGUGGGUUAAGGAUCUAGUGUUGCCUUAAGCCGAAGCAUAAGUCGCAGACAUGGCUCAGAUCCUGCAUUGCCGUGGCUGUGGUGUAGGCCAGCAGCUGCAGCUCUGAUUCCACCCCUAGCCUGGGAACUUCCAUAUGCCAUGAGUGCGGUCCUAAAAAAAAAAAAAUGGAAUGCUUCAGGAAUUUGCGUGUCAUCCUUACACAGAGGCCAUGCCAGUCUUCUCUGGAUCCUUCCAAUUUUAGUGUAUGUGCUGCCAAAGCGAGCACUUACUUUGUUUUUAUAAUGAAAGAACUUUGGAAUUUUCUCAAAUGAUGUUUCUGCCUCAGUUGAAAUGAUCAUGUAGGUUUGCAUUUUUUUCUAGUAAUAUGGUGCAUUAAAUCAAUUGGCUCUGACAUGUUAAGCCAACUUGCAUUCUUUAGAGUCUCCCAUUUGCUAAUGGUGUACAGUCCUUUUUAUAUGCUACUGCUUGAUGUUUUGUUGAGAGGAGUUACUUCUUAUUUAUAAAAGAUGUUGGUCUGUAGUUUUCUUGUGAUAUCUUUGUCUAGUUUUGUAUCAGGGUAGUACUGGUUUCAUAGAAUGAGUUGAGUGUUCCUCUCCUUUUUUGAAAGAAUUUGUGCAGCAUCGGUAUGUAUGAUUCUUUAAACGUGUGGUAGAAUAUGCAUCACUGAGGCUACCUGGGGCUGGAUGUUUCUUGAGGCAGUUUUAAAAUUACAAUUCAAGCUCUUUACCUGUUACAGGUAUAUUUGUUUUACUUCGUAUGUCAAAUUUGGCAGUUUGUGUCUUUCUAGAAAUGUGUCCAUUUCACUUAUGUUAUAUAAUUUAUUGACUUACCCUUGCUCUUAUAACGCUUUUUAUUUCUGUGAGGAUAAUAUGAUGUCCCCUUUUUUAUCUUCUGAUUUCUUUUUCUUUUUUUUGUCUUUUUAGAGCCUCAUCUGUGGCAUAUGGAGGUUCCCAGGCUAGGGGUCCAGUCGGAGCUGAAGGCACCAGCCUACACCACAGCCACAGCAACGUGGGAUUGGAGCCACGUCUGCAGCCUACACCACAGCCACAGCAAUCUGGAUCCUUAAUCCACUGAGCAAGGCCAGGGAUCGAGCACGGAACCUCAUGGAUACUAGUUGGGUUCAUUAACCACUGAACCACGACAGGAACUCUUAUCCCCUGAUUUUAAUAAUUCGAUUCUUCUCUCUUUUUUUCUUCAUCAGUGUAGCUAAAGGCUUAUUAGUUUUAUUGAUCUUUUCAUAGGACCAGCUUUUCGUUUGUCCAUUUUCUGUAUUAGUUUUCUAUCUUUUCCAUUUAUUUUUGCUUUAUUUAUUAUAUCUUUCCUUCUGUUGGAUUUGAGUUUAUUUUGCUCUUUUUAUUUCAUAUUAUUUCAUUUUAUAUAUUUUAUUUAUUUUUUUUAUUUUAUUUUGUUUUUGGUCUUUUUAGAGCCACACGCCCAGAAUAUGGAGGUUCCCAGGCGAGGUAGGGGUCCAAUCAGAGGUAUAGUCACCAGCCUACACCACAGCUACAGCAACACCAGGUCCGAGCUGCAUCUGUGACCUAGACCACAGCUCAUGGCACUGCCAGAUCCUUAAGCCACUGAGCAAGGCCGGGGAUCGAACCUGAGUCCUUGUGGAUCCUAGUUGGGUUUGUAACCUGCUGAGCCAUGACGGGAACUCCCUGUUUUCUUUUAAAGGUAACAAGUUCCCUCGUGGCUUAGCAGGUUGAGGAUCUGGCAUUGUCACUGCUGUGGCUUUGGUUACAGCUGUGGUGGGGGUUCACUUCUGCAUAUUUCAAGCUCAGCCAAUAAAUAAAUAAGUUAAUAGGUUAGUUUACGAAUUUAAGCUCUUUCUUCCUUUCUUUGUUUCUUUGCUUUGCUUUGCUUUUUAGAACGGCUCCUGAGGCAUAUGGAAGUUUCCAGAUUCCCAGGCUAGGCCUUGAAUAGGAGCUACAGCUGCUGACCUACACCACAGCCACAGCAACCCAGGAUCCGAGGUGAGUCUGCCGCCUACGCCACAGCUCACCGCAGUGCUGGGUCCUUAACCCACUGAGCGAGGCCAAGGAUCAAACCCACAUCCUCCUGGGUACUAGCUGGAUUUGUUCCUGCUGCGCCGCAACAGGAACUCCCUCUUUCUUUUUUUUCCUAGAGACAGUUAUAGCUGUAGAUUUCCCUCUAAGCACUGCUUUAGCUGCAUUCAGUAAGUUUUUAUAUUUUUCAUUUUCAUUUCGUUCGACUUAUUUUGUAACAUCUCUUGUGAUUUAUUCUUUUACUCAUGGAAUUAUUUAGGAGUGUGUUGUUUAAUGUAUUGAGUUCCAGUUUCUUCCAUUGUGUUCAGAGAACAUACUUUAGGUUAUUUCAAUGUUUAAAAAUGUAUUGGUGCUUCUGUUAAUGGCCUAAUGGUAUGAUGUUGUUGUUUGUUGAUGGGUUCUGCAGAUAUCUGCUUGGUCUAACUGGUUUAUUUAUAGAGUUUUGUGCAAGUCAUCUGUCUCCCUGUUGAUCUUCUGACUAAUCGUUUUUGGUAGGGGUAUUGAAAUCUCCAACUGGAGUUCCCGUCGUGGCGCAGUGGUUAACGAAUCCGACUAGGAACCAUGAGGUUGUGGGUUCGGUCCCUGCCCUUGCUCAGUGGGUUAACGAUCCGGCGUUGCCGUGAGCUGUGGUGUAGGUUGCAGACGCGGCUCGGAUCCCGAGUUGCUGUGGCUCUGGUGUAGGCCGGUGGCUACAGCUCCAAUUCGACCCCUAGCCUGGGAAUCUCCAUAUGCCGCGGGAUCGGCCCAAGAAAUAGCAACAACAACAACAACAAAAGAGAGACAAAAGACAAAAAAAAAAAAAAAAAAAAAAAAAAA
This 2967-nucleotide small nuclear RNA is filed under the name Sus scrofa (pig). RNAcentral's name for it is "lncRNA (ENSSSCG00050027482.1)". The record is from RNAcentral. Lineage: Eukaryota; Metazoa; Chordata; Mammalia; Artiodactyla; Suidae.